RNAcentral lists this long non-coding RNA (924 nucleotides) under Macaca mulatta (Rhesus monkey). RNAcentral describes it as "lncRNA (ENSMMUG00000061150.1)". The record is from RNAcentral. Lineage: Eukaryota; Metazoa; Chordata; Mammalia; Primates; Cercopithecidae.
CCUCUGGCCGCAGGCUCUGUGCUGCCUUCUCUCACCCUAUAUGGAGGGUUCUCAGAAGCAUGUUCCUGCCUGUUAUCAAGCUUGACUUUCUGCAUCCGUGUGGAUCGGUCCUGAAAUUAACCAAGAGGAAUAUUCUGAUUUUGGCAUUUUUAUCCUUUCUUCCACCACACCCUCAGACAGUCUUAAAUUUCACCAAGAAAGGAAUUUCUUUUAUGGCAACGAUUGGAGAUGGGCAUACUCACAUUGCAAGGAUGGUGUUGAAAUGCAACAAAACAUUUUUAAGAGAAGAAAUCUUUAUCAUCAGAUGCCCCAGAAGAAUUUGGCUCUGUGAAGACCAAUCACACGGUGAGAACUGGCUUUCAGUAGCCCUGCAUGAAAAAUGAUGUUAAAUAGGCUGUGGGCAGGGAUUGCCCUCUAACUGAAGAGUUGAGUGAUGGAAAUUCCCUUUAGUAGUCGGUGUGCCUAAUUUUCUAAAUUUACUUGGACAGUUUUCUUCAUAAGGCUCCCCCGCCACAGGUGUGUUUCCACCUAAUUGACUUCUCUUCACUUCCCUUCACCUUAUUUGCUUUUCAUCACGUUCUCUGACUCUCCUUUCACGUAACCCCUGUUCUAUCAUAGCCUCAAGGCUUUGCUGUGAAAACUUCUUUAUUUUUAAAUUUGUGAACAAUUCAUUUCUCUAGUUUGCCAGAAAAUUUUGCAUUGCUAUAAUGAAAGUAUUUAGCCAUAGUAAACGCACAUCUUACACCAUUCUCAAUACACACCUUUUAAAGUAGCAUGUUCGCAUGAGAGAAAUGACAGCUGAUUGGUUGAUAAUUAGUCAAAGGCAUAUUGCAGAAACGUGAUUAUUUGUGGCUUGUUAAAUUAUUGGUAUAAUUAGAAUGUCUUACAACUAGGAAUGUCUGUUUGACUUUAUGUAUGCCUGGG